GACGUAGGGCGCGAGCGUUGUCCGGAUUUAUUGGGCGUAAAGAGCUCGUAGGCGGCUUGUCGCGUCGUCUGUGAAAUCCCGCGGCUCAACUGCGGGCUGGCAGUCGAUACGGGCAGGCUGGAGUUCGGUAGGGGAGACUGGAAUUCCUGGUGUAGCGGUGAAAUGCGCAGAUAUCGGGAAGAACACCCGUGGCGAAGGCGGCUCUCUGGGACGGUACUGACGCUGAGACGCGAAAGCGUGGGGAGCGAACAGG
RNAcentral lists this ribosomal RNA (253 nucleotides) under uncultured bacterium. RNAcentral describes it as "partial 16S ribosomal RNA". It matches the Rfam family "Bacterial small subunit ribosomal RNA", at positions 524 to 776 of the family's 1533-position model. The record is from RNAcentral.